Non-coding RNA from Paramisgurnus dabryanus, 979 nucleotides. The record is from RefSeq and is a predicted model, not a curated record. Lineage: Eukaryota; Metazoa; Chordata; Actinopteri; Cypriniformes; Cobitidae.
UAUGUUUGGUCAGCAUUUUUUAUUUCGAGUUUUGUGUGUCUGUUAAACAUGCUAUAAUCUACAUGCAAUAGUUGUGUUGUAGUAGAUCUGUAUGGGAGAUAAUAAAGACAGCACUAGUUUUAUUUAGAGAUCCUUUUCGAAAGGGGUGUAUAGGCAGAUUCAUCAGUUUUGGGGAAGCUGUGAUGGGCGGGUGUUUUAUCAACACAUCACCCAUAAAUCCUUGAGAAUAAAAGCCCCUGUCUGUCCGCGUCACUGAACACAGACUCUCAGUUCAACAGAAACUUCUCUAAAAGAGGACACAACAACUGUAAAAAUGAAUACAUUUUGGAUCGUGUGCCUUGGGAUGCUGUUCAUGACUUUACCAUUUUCAUCCUUAGGGAAGCAGGAUUUGCAGAGCCAGAAUUCAACCAAACCUAGCGGAACUCCUGCAGAUUCCAGCGCUGUAGGAUCGAGUCCUGUCUCGAUCCCACUGUGUCUUCUAAUACCAGCAGCCACACUCCUCAUCCUCCACGGCAAAUUUUAAACUGGAAGUGGAGAAAGUUUGCUGUUGAUCCAGAGCGAGACAGUGAUGACAAGAAGUGUUUUUUAAAAUUCAAAAAGAUAAGAUACAAUCAAAGCUCAUAUGUGUUAUGGAUCUAUUAAAUCAAAAUUGAAUUUGAAGUUUGGAUAAUUAUUUUAAAGAGGAUUAGGAAAUCUUCCAUGUGCAGAUAUUUUAGUUAGUGUAAUAACAUUGUUUGCACUGUAUAAUAUGAAUCUUGUCAGAGUCAUCUUUCGUAACCUUACAAUAUUUUAUUGUAAACAAACAUUGUUGUGAUUAAGACUGAAUCAAUACAAUUAAAGCAGAAAAUUGUAUGUGUUUGCAUAUCAUCUUUUAUUUAUCCUGCCAUUAAUAUUUGUCAUCAUAACAUACUAUAAAAAUCGUUUAACUAUGUGUUUAGGUUGUAACAUAAAGAUCAAAUUAAAGAGAAAAGACAGAGAA